GUUGGCCAGGCUGGUCUCGAACUCCUGACCUCUGAUGAUCCACCAGCCUCAGCCUCCCAAAGUGCUGGGAUUACAGGUGUGAGCCACCACGCCCGGCCCCAGUUUUAUUCUUCUUUGCUUAAUUUGGGACUGUGAAGAAGAGCAGGCUUAAAGUAUUUAUUGUUGGCUUUCCUCAGGCUGGAUUUUGAUGAUGAUGGAGAAGGGAACAGUAAAUUUUUGAGGUGUGAUGAUGAUCAGAUGUCUAACGAUAAGGAACGGUUUGCCAGGUCGGAUGAUGAGCAGAGCUCUGCGGAUAAAGAGAGACUUGCCAGGUAGGAGAACAGUGUCUUUUAGCAUGAUGGAGCAGAUGAUGCUGCUUUUUCUAUCCUUUUUCUUACUCUAUCUUUUCUUCCCCUUUCUCUUUGUAUUUUUCCUUAUCUGUGACAAGAGAGGACAAGAUUUUUUAGAAGUUUGAGUGUAGCAGGAACUUUGGCUUCCCCCAUCAGAAAGUGGGUGAGUUGAGGGAACUUUGCUUAGGGAUUUAAGACAUUGCUAUUAAGUUUUUUUCUCUUUUUCUUUAUGUCAGUACUAAGUUUCACAGGACAAAAAGCUCUUAGAAGUAAUGCGGCUGUGCCAGUUGGUGCUUUAACAGGGAAAUACUCUUUUUAUCAGAAAACCACAAAUAUAUCUGUAUUUGUGAUUAGCUCCCAGUAUUUAGGCCUCAGCAUUUACUCCACACCUCUAGGAAACUCACACCUAUUUUCCUAUGAAGACUCACAGCCUAGAUUAUUCUCACAACAGAACUAGUGUUGCUUUGGUGAUAUAAUCCUUUCUUGUGGUAGUUUUCUAGAAAAGUUUUAGUUUCCUUGAUGUGGCUAUUUAAAAGACCAGGUUUCUGUACUUACGUGUCAGAAAUCUGUCAGAUACUAGAAAGUUGAGUGCUUUAUGUUUGAGAGUAGAAUUUUAUGUCUUAGGCAAAGUGUAACAAAAUAUGGGCCUAUGUGAUGAGACCCUUUUUGCCAUUUAGAAAGGAGAGUCGAAUUCUCUUUGGAGACUGUUGUUUGUAAUGCAGAAAUACUGCAGAAGAAACAUGCACAGACUUUUCUGUUUUCUAGUAUCCGUGAUUUGGGGGUGACUUAGGAAAUAGAUCAUUGAUGCUGAUACCUAUUUUUACUAUUUUCCCCCUUUUUUCUACUAUUGCUCUUUAAUCUGGGCCACAAACUCAUUUUGCUGCCAGUUUAACUUGAGCUUCUUACUAACCCUUUCACUAUUCAGAAAAUGGAUUUGGCAUGACGUGGAGAAAACAUUGU
Long non-coding RNA from Piliocolobus tephrosceles (Ugandan red Colobus), 1289 nucleotides. RefSeq lists it as uncharacterized. The transcript has 4 exons. The record is from RefSeq and is a predicted model, not a curated record. NCBI's taxonomy places the organism in Eukaryota, Metazoa, Chordata, Mammalia, Primates, Cercopithecidae.